Molecule: long non-coding RNA, 1397 nt
Filed under: Phasianus colchicus (ring-necked pheasant)
Lineage: Eukaryota; Metazoa; Chordata; Aves; Galliformes; Phasianidae
Description: lncRNA (ENSPCLG00000016829.1)
Source: RNAcentral
CCCCGAAGCCGAAGACGGUCCUGCAUCGUGGGGCUCCGGCCGCCCCCCAGGUGCUGCGCACGGCGCUGCGCCGCUCCGCGUUGCCGGGGCUGCUGGGAACCAGGAGCAGCAGGAGGGGGGGGGGAGCCGAGCAGGGGNNNNNNNNNNNNNNNNNNNNNNNNNNNNNNNNNNNNNNNNNNNNNNNNCCGACCCCCUGCACCUCCCGCAAUGGGACCCCCUGCACCUCCCCAAAACCGACCCCCUGCACCUCCCCCACCGCUGCUGAACCCGCGCCUGCAGCCCCUGCGUGCAUUGCAGGCAUUGCAGCGCCUGCAGCAUUUGCAGCAUUUGCAGCCCCUGCGUGCAUUGCAGCCCCUGCAUGCAUUGCAGCCCCUGUGUGCAUUGCAGCGCCUGCAGCACCUGCGUGUAUUGCAGACCCUGCAUGCAUUGCAGCCCCUGCAGCCCCUGCGUGCAUUGCAGGCAUUGCAGCCCCUGCGUGCAUUGCAGCACCUGCAUCCCCUGCAGCCCCUGCGUGCAUUGCAAACCCUGCAGCAUUUACAGCAUUUGCAACCCCUGCAUGCACUGAAGCACCUGCAGCCCUUGCGUGCAUUGCAGCACCUGCGUGCAUUGCAUGCAUUGCAGCCCCUGCGUGCAUUGCAGCCCCUGCGUGCAUUGCAGCCCCUGCAGCAUUUGCAUGCAUUGCAGCCCCUGUGUGCAUUGCAGCCCCCGCAUCACCCGCCCCCCCCCAGCGCCCCGCGGCCCAGCCCAGCGCCAGCAGCCCCAGCAGCGCCGCCGCCGCCCUCCGCCCCGCUCCCCGCAGCCGCAGCCAUCGCCGCAUCUCCGCCCGCACGGCUGCGGGCUGCGCUCAGUGCGCGUGCGCCGGGAGGGAGCGGAGGGCAGUGCGCAUGCGCCGGAAGGGAGAAGCGGAAAGUGCUCAUGCGUCGUCGCGAGGAGGUGAAGAGUGCGCAUGCGUCAGCUGGCGGGGCGUGAGAAGCGCGCAUGCGCUGAGCGGAAUGGGAGUUAGCGCGCAUGCGCCGGAUGUAAUCCGUGGCGAAUACGCAUGCGUUAGGAGUAGCGCGCAUGCGCUCUGCGGGAAAAGGGAGAGACGGUAAACUAGCGCGUAUGCGCCGGGUGGGAAGGCGUGAUCCGUGCGCAUGCGUGGAGAGAGCGGUUUGUUGUGGUCACGUGAGGAAAGGGGCGGGUUCCGCGUGGUGUUCAGUGCGCAUGCGUGGAAUGGGGGGGGAUGCGGAUGCGCGGAGAGUUUGUUGCUGUCACGUGACGGGAAGAGGAGGGUCGUGGUGCGGUCACGUGAGAGGAAGAGGCGGGGCUUGAGGCGGUGAGGAGUGCGGGGAAGUGGGGGAGGGGAACGAGGGGCGGUUGGGGGGCAGUGGGGCAGAAAUGGGGCUGGGGGGGGCUGG